Molecule: long non-coding RNA, 1976 nt
Organism: Misgurnus anguillicaudatus (oriental weatherfish)
Lineage: Eukaryota; Metazoa; Chordata; Actinopteri; Cypriniformes; Cobitidae
Source: RefSeq, a predicted model, not a curated record
UGCACCCUUUAACCGUAGAUACAUUCGUUAAAAAAACGAUUUGAUACCAACAUAUGACGUUCAGCUAUUUUUUUAAGCCAACAUUGGCAGUUUCGGUCAUGUGGGGUUUUAAAGUCCUCGCACUGGCGAAUUCAUGACGUCAUUUUUGCCACAACAGUGGGCCUUCUGACGUGACGUUUUUGCGGGGAAAGUAUGGACAGAAUUGUCUGGCUAAAUGGACUAUACGGUGAGGGCGAAUGAAGAAGAGAUAAACAGACGGAUGGCACACAUCACUCUCAUCUUGGUGACCUGCUGUACUUUGAUUUCUCCGUCUUUCCCUCACCUUCAUUUCCUCCAAACCUUUCCUGUCCUCCCUCGAGUGUCUUUCUCAUUUUAUGGCUUUUUCUCUUCUUCUAUCCCUCUCCGGUCGUCUCUCAUUUAGUACAGUCAGCAUACUGUCCAUACUUUCUCCUACUCUUGUUUCAGCUGGUACUGGGCGUAGCUCUAUCCCUGUAUCCCUCUCUCAGGAAAGGUGGGGUUGCUGGUGCCUACUCUACAGAAAUAAUCCAGGGUCUUUCAAAUUGGUUGGGUUUGUUUUAGGUGACCUGGUCACUUUCCUCCCCAUAUUUUUGCAAUUCUUUUCGCGCCGUGUGAAGAUGCAAGAAGACGCCAAUGCUCGGCAUUCCUUUAUAUCCUCACCUCUUUCUCUGAUCUGUCCAUUCCACUCUCCCUCUCUCGCUCUCUCUCUCUCUCCUCAUCCUUAAAUUCUCAAACGCUGAAUCAGCUGCUUGGGAACGGACGCUCCCCCUACCUCUAGGAUCCACGCACGAGCCGCCAGCUUUCCCUGGUUCCGAUCCCGAGCUGUUUCCCCGGCCUAAAUUUGGGAUUUUGGCACACACAUAGGGGUCUUUUUCUAAAAUGCUUUGCUAAAGCUGGUAAAAUGGAACCAAAUCAACUGUUUUAUGGAUUUGGUCCCCUUCAACCAGCUGUAGCUGUGCAUUGAUCAGCUGCGACAGAUGGAAACGAGCACACGUGCUAACCUUUCCUGUCCCUGCAUAUUCGCCAUUACGUGGAUCUAAGCUUACAGUGCACACCGGCCAUGUCCAACUCAGGGCACCUUUGAAUGCAUGUUUCUUAAGCACUAAUAUAAUGAUUAAAAAGUCAUUGUGCUUUUAAAACCCAGGUGAGUAUUAUAUAUGUCAUGGGAUUUAUUAUACAUGAGCUAUAAUUGUUGAUUAUGUAUUCAACCAAAAUCACUAUUAUUGGAAAGUGGGCUCUUUAUGGCCACCGAUUGAUUUCACGUCUCUCCACUGGAUGAACGAGAGGGGGAUGAGCUGAGGUGGAUGGAUGUGGGGAAUGAGUGAGGGGGUGCAUGUCAAGCUGUUGAAUAAGUAAAACGUUUCGUUCGACUUUAUCCCUCACUAUUUUUUCCUUCUAUGCUUGUCGUGAUUCUUAAUGCACACACCUGAUCAAUAAAAGCUCAUCUUGAAGUUCAUAAACUGCUGAAGUGGUUUUUGGAGUGAAACAGAUUAUUCAGCGGGAAAUAAUGUUGGGAGGGGACUUGAUUUUAUCUCUUGGGAUUUUAUAGGAUUGAAACAUUAUGCUACGAUGCUACUGGCCAACAUUAUUUUUGCCAUGCCCAUAUGGCCUCAGCAACAUCAACAGAAGAGCUGAAGAAGCUGGAGAAAUGUAUAAGUAAAACUUUGAGAAAAAAACAAACAUUUUAUUGUCUUUAGAUCAACUUUGAAUCGGGUACAAAAUGUACAUUGUGUUAAUGAUUCGCCACAUGGUGUGCAGUAUCAGCGUUUUAAUGACCAGCUGGAGGGUGUGUCCUGUGCAGCUGAGACACUUAUAUUGUAUUUUUCAACUGAUGGUGCUUGUGCUGUUACGAACGAUGUAAACUGUUAUGUCCUACACUUGCUUAUAUUUCUUGUCAGCCUCUGUACAACACUUUGGUGGUUUUGGUUUGUACAAACAUUUAAAAGAUCAUGUGUUCA